This is a long non-coding RNA of Chroicocephalus ridibundus (black-headed gull), 3620 nucleotides long. RefSeq lists it as uncharacterized. The transcript is spliced from 6 exons. The record is from RefSeq and is a predicted model, not a curated record. NCBI's taxonomy places the organism in Eukaryota, Metazoa, Chordata, Aves, Charadriiformes, Laridae.
CUUUGGGGCAGGCAUGUUUUGGUAUUUAGGGAGGCAGAGGUAAGAAGGCUGAGCUAAGACCUUCAAGACCAGUACACAUCCUGACACCCGUAUAGUAGAAAGUUGACUGGAGUGCUGCAUUUCCCUAAAAUUCGUGACUUUAUUGAAGAUGGGCCUGUGGUUUUUUCCACCAGUUUUGCAGUAUGCUGUGUGUCAUAAAUAAUUGUUGCUGCAGCCUCUGACUCCGGAAUCGGUGUGAAACAGAUGAAGGGGAACCUGGUGACUGCAGGAACACAUCAGUUAGCUGUUUGUUGUGGGUUUCUUGUCAAGGAUGAAUUCGGACCCCUGGCUGUCUGAAAGCUAAGUAGAGGCACAGGUGCUGGAGGGGGGGGCAAGGUUGACAGUUUCAGGGAGGAGUUUUCAAGUCUGGGUAGAGCAGAGGGCUAUCCAGCAGGAGUCUCCUCUGAGUAGGUAAAGGGAGUGGGUUAUUCUUCAGCACAAAGCUAGUGUGUGCUGGGCAGGGCAGUUCUGGCCUGUGUCUGUUGUUGUGUAGUUUGUGUGCUCUGUCUUCUGUGUCUUGGACUUUCCUUAGGUUUUGAUGUCCUCGUUUCUCUUUGCACUCAAGGGGCACAGCAUGUGCCUUGGGCAGCCUCUGUAGAGUCUCAAAUGCCUCCGCUAAUUGGCAGAGCGCUCAAUGGGCACUUCUUGCAUAACAAUUCUAAAGUGCAGAUCGGACUUGUCUCUUGGAAGUUUCUGGAUAGUCCUCUUCUGCAGCAUCGUUCAUGGCUGCAUGAGCAGCUCUGUUCUCUGAGCUAUAGCAGCUCUAGCCAUCUGCUUUUAUGAACUGGGAUUUCUUCCCUGCAUCCUUACAUUCUCAGGUCUUGAAGCCAGGCUUCCUGCGCAUAUGUCAUCUCCAUUUUGACAGGAACUUCUUGGAAUGGGCUGUUACAUUUGACUCUUUUAUGAUUUUUAUGACUUUGCCACAGAGCCUCCUCACGUCUGUGCUGUGGCCAUCGGUCUUCUUGCCCAACAGCGUCUCUUGUCUGAAAGUCAUUCUUCUUGUGGAGAGUUUUCUCUCAUCUUGGAGUCAUGUUGUUGUCUAUAGUGCUGUGUGGUGUUGUGCUGCACAUGGGUGUGUUUGGCAUGGAGCUGCCCUGCCUGGGGGUGUAGAGUCAGGGGUAGGUGGAACAGCAAUAAGAGUCUAUAGGUAAUAUGUUGAUCUGCCAAGACUGUUUAGCCAAAGGUUGUACAGUAAUCUGGGAUCAAGCAGCCAUUGGCAGGGACAGUCAUUUCCAUAGUGUUUUAUGGGGAUGAUUGGAGCCUCCUGGGAGGGCCUGUUUGGCAGUAGUGAAGCAGAUUGAAGGUGUUAAGGCUUGUAUGUGUGGGGAUUAACAUUGAGUCCAAUUUUUUUUAAUGGCAGGCUGUAGUUGGAGCCUAGAUGAUAUUCCUAAAUGGAAACAAGACCCCUGGAAUUGUUCAGCUACUGAUGAGCAUCUGGGUGACUUGUUUACUAAUUUUUUCAGAUGCAGAGGGACAAGAUGUGCACCAAAGAGUCAUGGAGAAGGCAAGCGGGACCCUGUAAGAAGGUGGGUCAGUUCACAGUGCUGGAGGGAAGCUGUGACUGGUGGCUAUGUCAUUAUAUUGUGGCUUGGUGGUGGGGUGUGGUUUUUUUUUCAUUUUGAAGGUAUGAAGUGAUGAGUAAAGCAGGAUAUUGGCACCGGAUGUGACUCUCGGGUAAGGUGGUCAAUGAAUAGCAGGCUGAAGCAGCAAUUCUUCUCAGAUGUUAUAUUGUGGGUGAAGUUUUUAGUGUCCUUUGUGUCUGUUUUACAGGUAGUCUGUAAGCCUCAAAGCGGCAGCCCAAAACCAUGGAGGGCAGGUGGGCGAGAGGCCAGGGUAAAGGAGUAGGAGACAGGAAUGGCUGUAGGCAGGCUGAGGUGUUGGGCAGUAUGUCAGCACAUGUCUUUUGGUUGGCUUUUUUUUUUUUUUUCAGAUGCAGGACGCAGGCUCAGAGGGACUAAGCAGCAUGCUGAUGAGUGUGCUGAGAAGGUGCCCUGUGAGCCAUCUUUGGAAGUGGAUGAGCAUUAGAGGUGAGCCGAGGCAGCAGUGAGGAGGAGCUUGUGGCUGGUGAUUUCUCACACGUGCAACAGUAAUUUUGUUUCUUGGUAUCUCAAGCAAUGAUGGCCACAGCAUUUGACUCUGGAAGGAGCAGAUGAUGAUGAGGAACGUGGUGACUACAGGAAUGUCCCAGAUAGUCGAUGUGCUGGUGUGUUUUUUUUCUUUUUUUUUUUGUCGACAUCGGAUUUAAGACCUCCAGCCCUCUGGAAGCUAAGUUGAGUGGCCAGGGCUGGGGAGGGGCUGGGAGGGGAGAAGUUUGUGAUUUACAGGGAGGUGUCUUAAAGUUAGAGAAGGGCAGAGGACUGUCCUGGAGCCGUCCCCUUUGGGCAGGUAAAGGGAGCGGGUUAGUCUUCAGCACAAUGCUAGCAUGAGCCGGGCAGGGCGGUUCCAGCCUGCAUCUGUUGUGUUGUUUGUGUGGUCUGUCUUCUGUGUCUUAAACCUUCCUUGGGUCUCGAUGCGCUCUUUACACUUGAGGAGCACAGCCUGUACUUCAGGCACCAUCCCAAGAGUCUUGAAUGCCAGUACUCAUCGGCACUGCCCCAGUCAGGCCCCACGUUUCUUGCAUUAUAAGCUUAAACAGUGGAUCGGUCUUGCAUCUUGGAAGUUUCUGGGUGGUCCUCAACUGCAGCAUUGUUCCUGGCUGCGUGAGCAGCUCUGUUCUCUAGCCAUCCAUUUUCAGUGACUGGGACUUCUUCCCUGCAUCCUUAAGGUCUUAGGUCUUGAAGCCAGGCUUCCUGCACGUACAUCUCAGUUUGAGUCACUUGUUGUACCGGAUCAUUACAUUGUACUCAUUUCUUGGGGUUUCCCUAGAGCCUUCUCGUGUCACCACUGUGGUCUUGCAGGUCUUCUUGCCCGACAGUCGCUUAUGUUGGUGUCAUCCUUCUUGCUGAGAGUUUUCCCUCAUCAGAGAGGUGCAUUGUUUGUAGUGUUCUGUGUAAUGUUGGUCUGUGCUUGUGUGUGUUUGGCUCGGAGCUGCUCUGCCCAGUCAUGUAAACUCUGGGGUAGGUGGAACAUCAAUAGGAGUCUAUGGUUAGUUUGUUGAUCUACCUAGACUGUUGAGGCAAAGCUGGUACAGUCAACUCCCAUCAAGUAGCCAUCAGCAGGUUGCAUGGGCAGCUCUUUAAUUAAUGGGGUUGUUUUGGGAUGAGCAGAGCUAUGUGGGAGGGGCUGUUCAGCAGUAGUGAAGCAGACUGCAUCACGAAGAUGUUAAGGUUGCCUUGUGUGGGGUGUAAUGUUUGUGUGUUGUGUUGUUUUUUUUUUCUUUUAAUGUCAGGCUGUAAUUGUACUCCAGAUGGUAUUUCUAAGGCAAAACAAGACCUUUUUGAGGGUGUGCGCGUGUCACAUGCGGUUCCCCCUGAAAGAGGCAGUUCACAGCCCAACAAAUGCCUGAAAAUUCAUGUGGGGAAUGUGUGUUUAAAAAAUAAUAAAACCUGUAUAUAUGGGUAUGAGGCAUUGAAAUAAAGAACAAUUUCUCAUUUUUAUACAUAUUGAAAAAUAUAAGUGUAUGUAUAUAAAAAGGAGUUCAA